GAUGAACGCUGGCGGCGUGCCUCAAACAUGCAAGUCGAGCGGGGCUAUGUAAUACCGCAAGGUAGAACAUAGCCUAGCGGCGAACGGGUGAGUAACACGUGGGUAACCUGCCUGGAAGACAGGGAUAACGAUUCGAAAGGGUCGCUAAUACCUGAUAAUAUCCUUUCAUCGCAUGGUGAUAGGAAGAAAGGGGAAACCCGCUUUCAGAUGGGCCCGCGUCCCAUCAGCUAGUUGGUAAGGUAAAGGCUUACCAAGGCGACGACGGGUAGCCGGUCUGAGAGGAUGUACGGCCACACUGGGACUGAGAUACGGCCCAGACUCCUACGGGAGGCAGCAGUUGGGAAUCUUAGGCAAUGGACGAAAGUCUGACCUAGCGACGCCGCGUGAGGGAAGAAGGCCUUCGGUUGUAAGCCUGUCUUAUGGAAGAAGUCAGUGACGGUACCACUAGGAGGAAGCCGACGGCGUAACUAACCGUG
Molecule: ribosomal RNA, 476 nt
Filed under: uncultured bacterium
Lineage: Bacteria
Description: bacterial SSU rRNA
Rfam family: Bacterial small subunit ribosomal RNA
Source: RNAcentral